CCUACGGGUGGCAGCAGUAGGGAAUUUUCGUCAAUGGGCGCAAGCCUGAACGAGCAAUGCCGCGUGAACGAGGAAGGUCUUCGGAUCGUAAAGUUCUGUUGAAGGGGAAAAAGAGCGGAGAGAGGAAAUGGUCUCCGAUUGAUAUUACACUUCGAGGAAGUCACGGCGAACUACGUGCCAGCAGCCGCGGUAAUACGUAGGUGGCGAGCGUUAUCCGGAAUGAUUGGGCGUAAGGGGUGCGUAGGCGGCCUGCUAAGUCUGGAGUGAAAGGUACCGGCUCAACCGGUACAGGCUCUGGAAACUGGCGUGCUAGAGAGCAGGAGAGGGAGGUGGAACUCCAUGUGUAGCGGUAAAAUGCGUAGAUAUAUGGAAGAACCCCAGUUGCGAAGGCGGCCGCCUGGCCUGUUACUGACGCUGAGGCACGAAAGCGUGGGGAGCAAAUAGGAUUAGAUACCCUAGUAGUC
RNAcentral lists this ribosomal RNA (464 nucleotides) under uncultured bacterium. RNAcentral's name for it is "partial 16S ribosomal RNA". It matches the Rfam family "Bacterial small subunit ribosomal RNA", at positions 338 to 795 of the family's 1533-position model. The record is from RNAcentral.